CGCACAGGUUUUCGCGACUGCCUGCAACCUUCGCCCGCAUGGAGAGAGUGCAACGGAAUUACUUGAUGAGUCUAUCGGCGAUGGGGAACCAUCAUGACGAGUGUAGACGCCAUCCACUGAAUCUCAUGCCGGCGGUAUUAGCACCGAUUGGUCGCUGGAGUAUCGAGCGGAACGGAGCUGAGGCACGACAGCAGUCUCUUACUGUUUGUCUCGAAUAUAAUAACAAGUGUCAAACGACAUCCGUAAAUUGUCGUAGUCGGCUUUUCUACGAGGUAUCAUCGUUCGAGGGCUCUCUUAAUCGCCCUAUUGAAUCUAGUGUCCAUGCUGUUGCCAACGACGGAAAGCCGCACUCGCUAGCGACAACAGCAAAGGAGUGUACACGGAAUUCGCGGCAGACAGACGCAGUCUCUCAGCGUAUCGACCACAGCCGGUCCUAUUUGUUGCCAGAGUGAGACAACUCGUUCUGUAUACUAUAAGUUCGACCUUACAAAUAGCGUGAAAUAGAUCGUGACCCAUUUUGAGAAGAUACUGCAAGACUGCUUCACGCUGAGGGUCCGCCGAGAAGGCUUGCCCGAACUCUGUCUGCAGAAACAGCCAAAGAAACCGUCGAGACGAAACGUUAAAGUCAACUUGAUUGAAAACAUUGAUGGAUGCGGAUGUGUCUCGCGCACCGUGAUAAAUGGGUGAUAAUUUUCGUGGAACCGAUAUAUUGGUUUAACAGCGCUGGUGAUGGGGUCGUUCGGUCAACAGUAAACGUGUGGCCUCAAUUCUAUCGCCUCCAGAACUGACAUUUGCCAGGUGGUCAACUCAGACUUAGGCCGACAAUUCACAUAUAAGGGAAGUUGUCAUAUUCUGAUUCUGUCGAGAAGCAGGCCGCGAACCGGCAUAUUCAGAGACAAAAAAUGUGGGUACGGAAAACUCUCGCGAUGAGCCAGGGUUCGCUUUUUGUUGCGGUCAUCAUGGCAGCAGUUGCAGUCUCCGUGGUCUGGAGCUUACCACAAGCGAUUACGUUACCUGAUAGCACUGUUCCCUGUACCGAUGAAACCUGUGAGAUGGAAUGCACAACGGCCGGAAGCACCAGGGGCGAAAAUGUCACUACGACAUCAAGCUGUCAAAAAUCCAGCGGUGCAUGCAAUUGUUGUAUAUUACCUGACUGUGAGGUAACCUGUCAAGAAAGACGUCGCAAAGAACGACCUCGUUCGAAGGAGGUGCGCAGUCGAUGUACGGAGAAGGCCGAAUGUUACUGCAACUUCCUGUGGUUCGAUACAAUGGAUGAUCCGGUGAAUUCCCCCUGACCAGAGCUCCGGUUCAGAUGAACAGCAGCCUCACCCACUAAAUAGAUAUCGAAUAGUAAUAAAUAGAUACACCUUAUUAUUGUUUCUGAUAUAUUAUCACAGAUACACGUACUGCUUUGUAAAAUUUUAUAUUAUUAUUUACUGUUUUUGGUGGCUCGGCUGCAAGGAUAGGUUGCAAGGGCUAGUACGAUACUCGUGACAUGGCCAUUUGGGCCUCCACUUAUUCUAGACAUUGAUAUUAUAUAAAAUAUUAUACAUGUAAUUUCGAAGCUUGUAGACAGCGCAAAUAGGGAAAGCCAUGAUAGACGGUGUAGAUGACUAAUCCGUGAUGUUACAGUUGGAUAACAGGAACACGAAACUCUUACACACACACAUAUAUAUAUAUAUAUAUAUAUAUAUAUAUAUAUAAGAACGUUUAUUACGCGCUAUUACAUGAGUGCUAAAUGAAGAGAUAAGUAGAUAAAUCAACGCACUCCUUAAUUUAUAGGAUGUCAAGAUUUACCGCGUCAGCUACUUCGUUAAAAGGAACAGAAAAUGCGAGACACAGUGAAUGAGAUCAACUGACAAACUGACAGACCGAAAAAAAAAGGAUAAAUAGGGAUUGUGCUAUGAAAAGUAGCACCAUUGUAGCAUAGAAAUAAACAUGUAAAACAAUAGAACUUGAGUGUAUGUGUCUUUCGGUAAAUGUUGGCUUUCUUCUUUGAUAUAGCUAGCUUUGCGUAAUGUCUGUCCAUAAAUUCACACGUACGUACAGAGGAAGGCAAGAGCCUAAAUUAAGAUUUUUUCUUAUAUUUAAGCCAAAACGAUUUCCCGAUGAAACUUCAUCUAUGUGCUGCAAGCAUAUCCCUAACGGUCAUACAACGACCAUUAUUCAAUACAACCACUAUCUACUUUGAAUAGGAGUCAAUUUUAGAAUAUGCAUUAUUUAAUUCACAAGUAACUUUUUGAUAGUAAUCACACGUCAAAAGAUAUGAGUAGGUGUAAAUUAAACACUUUACAUAUAUUAAAAUUUUGAAGCAAUUACAUAUUGGGCUUAUAGCAGGCUAAAAGCCCUAAGAAUGCACUCAAAAGGACCAGAAGGGAAAAAGGUGUAAAAAGUCUCUAAAAGGCUCAUCGUUGGAACUUGCGUGGGUGACAAAAUUGACAUUGAUAUUUUCCUUUCAAAAACAGCCAUUAAUUUCUGUAUUGAAAACUUAAAUUUAUCUAAAAAUAGAGAAUCUUCUGAUUUGCCUCAUGAAAGUCAACCUUGGAUUUUUCAGAAACUGCUAAAGAAUGGAAACACGUAAGUCGUCGAUUUCGAGAGAAAAAAAAAAAUCAAUUUUGCUAGGGGUUCAUCCAGCGCGAAAAGAUUGUAUAAUAGCUGAUUUUUGCUUACAUCCCGAAAGCGACACGCUGUUUCUUGUUUGUUGUUUAACUUUAGAAUGUAACCGGCUUCUGUCUGGUGCGAUAAGUAGCGGACACCCGGUAUGAUUAAUAUGAAUCCGAAUGUACUGCUAUAUAUAUAUAUAUAUAUAUAUAUAUAUAUAUAUAUAUAUAUUCAUAAAGAUAGCUUUCCUUAAUCGCACAGUUUGCAUUCUAUGUGCCGUUAAAGGAACUUAAAACAGCGACCCCAGUGGCUAAAAGCUUGGCCAUUAAAACUAUCGCGUUUACACAAGUAUAUUUCGAGUUCCAUAUAUAGAUUUAUAAAGUUUGUAAACUUAAUAUAGCUGAUACGUUCUCACAUGUGAACGAGUAAGAUUAUUUAGAAUUGAGUGAUCAAUUUGUUUUUACCCUUAUCCGAUCUUCGGUCCUUUCAGCUUUCGGUUUUUGAGACUAAUACAGGAGCGAUGAAAUAUGCUUUCGGCCUUGCAGCCACGUGUUCUUCAAGUUCACAUUAAUAGCAUUUUUUCUAUCUGCUUCGGAGAAUUGUGUAUUUACACAGUUCUCCAAGAUUAGGGCCUACAUAUAUGUCCAUAUUAAGGUAACCCUUAAGCUUUGUUCUUGUAGUAUAAACAAAUCAGCUGUUCACGCUGCCAACGACACAAAAGCAGAAAAUGAAGGUUCGUCGAGUGCUGAGUUUACGAAAUUAAAAAAGAAACACAAUAAAAAACAGAUUUUUUUUUGGCUUUUUUCGAAGUAUGGUAACUUUAUUAUAGUAGAAUCUGAGCUGAAUCUAUCCUUCGUUUAUCUGGACUGAAACCUGGAGUGUCACGAGCGGCGGGUUCUGCUGGCAAGGGACUUCAUCAUCACGCAAAAAAGUAACGAAGUUGUGCGCAGCCGAUGU
This is a non-coding RNA of Varroa destructor (honeybee mite), 3558 nucleotides long. Lineage: Eukaryota; Metazoa; Arthropoda; Arachnida; Mesostigmata; Varroidae. The record is from RefSeq and is a predicted model, not a curated record.